UCCGUUGGUGAACCAGCGGAGGGAUCAUUACCGAGUUUACAACUCCCAAACCCCUGUGACAUACCUUACUGUUGCCUCGGCGGAUCAGCCCGCUCCCGGUAAAACGGGACGGCCCGCCAGAGGACCCCUAAACUCUGUUUCUAUAUGUAACUUCUGAGUAAAACCAUAAAUAAAUCAAAACUUUCAACAACGGAUCUCUUGGUUCUGGCAUCGAUGAAGAACGCAGCAAAAUGCGAUAAGUAAUGUGAAUUGCAGAAUUCAGUGAAUCAUCGAAUCUUUGAACGCACAUUGCGCCCGCCAGUAUUCUGGCGGGCAUGCCUGUUCGAGCGUCAUUUCAACCCUCAAGCCCUCGGGUUUGGUGUUGGGGAUCGGCGAGCCUUUCUGGCAAGCCGGCCCCGAAAUCUAGUGGCGGUCUCGCUGCAGCCUCCAUUGCGUAGUAGUAAAACCCUCGCAACUGGAACGCGGCGCGGCCAAGCCGUUAAACCCCCAACUUCUGAAUGUUGACCUCGGAUCAGGUAGGAAUACCCGCUGAACUUAAGCAUAUCAAAGCCCGGGAGGA
This 559-nucleotide ribosomal RNA is filed under the name Fusarium sp. RC04. RNAcentral's name for it is "eukaryotic LSU rRNA". The stretch from base 179 to 332 matches the Rfam family "5.8S ribosomal RNA". Lineage: Eukaryota; Fungi; Ascomycota; Sordariomycetes; Hypocreales; Nectriaceae. The record is from RNAcentral.